RNAcentral lists this ribosomal RNA (495 nucleotides) under uncultured bacterium. Its description in RNAcentral is "partial 16S ribosomal RNA". It matches the Rfam family "Bacterial small subunit ribosomal RNA", at positions 28 to 507 of the family's 1533-position model. The record is from RNAcentral.
GACGAACGCUGGCGGCGUGCCUAAUACAUGCAAGUAGAACGCUGAAGGAGGAGCUUGCUCUUCUGGAUGAGUUGCGCACGGGUGAGUAACGCGUAGGUAACCUGCCUGGUAGCGGGGGAUAACUAUUGGAAACGAUAGCUAAUACCGCAUAAUAGUAGAUGUUGCAUGAUAUUUACUUAAAAGGUGCAAUUUUACCACUACCAGAUGGACCUGCGUUGUAUUAGGUAGUUGGUGGGGUAACGGCUCACCAAGGCGACGAUACAUAGCCGACCUGAGAGGGUGAUCCGCCAAACUGGGAAUGAGAAAAGGCCCAGAAUCCCAAGGGAAGCAGCAGUAGGGAAAUUUCGGGAAUGGAGGAAAGGCUGAACGAGGAAAGGCGGGGGAGUGAAGAAGGUUUUCGGAUCGGAAAGAUCUGUUGUAAGGGAAGAAAGAGUGGGAGAGUGGAAAGUGCACAUUGUGACGGUAUCUUACCAGAAAGGGACGGCUAACUACGUG